AACGCGAAGAACCUUACCAGGCCUUGACAUGCAGAGAACUUUCCAGAGAUGGAUUGGUGCCUUCGGGAACUCUGACACAGGUGCUGCAUGGCUGUCGUCAGCUCGUGUCGUGAGAUGUUGGGUUAAGUCCCGUAACGAGCGCAACCCUUGUCCUUAGUUACCAGCACGUUAAGGUGGGCACUCUAAGGAGACUCCCGGUGGCAAACCGGAGGAAGGUGGCGAUGAAGUCAAGUCGCGUUUGGCCCCG
This 247-nucleotide ribosomal RNA is filed under the name uncultured bacterium. Its description in RNAcentral is "partial 16S ribosomal RNA". It matches the Rfam family "Bacterial small subunit ribosomal RNA", at positions 958 to 1203 of the family's 1533-position model. The record is from RNAcentral.